This 495-nucleotide ribosomal RNA is filed under the name uncultured bacterium. RNAcentral describes it as "partial 16S ribosomal RNA". It matches the Rfam family "Bacterial small subunit ribosomal RNA", at positions 28 to 507 of the family's 1533-position model. The record is from RNAcentral.
GACGAACGCUGGCGGCGUGCCUAAUACAUGCAAGUAGAACGCUGAAGGAGGAGCUUGCUUCUCUGGAUGAGUUGCGAACGGGUGAGUAACGCGUAGGUAACCUGCCUGGUAGCGGGGGAUAACUAUUGGAAACGAUAGCUAAUACCGCAUAAUAUUGACUAUUGCAUGAUAGUCAGUUGAAAGGUGCAACUGCACCACUACCAGAUGGACCUGCGUUGUAUUAGCUAGUUGGUGGGGUAACGGCUCACCAAGGCGACGAUACAUAGCCGACCUGAGAGGGUGAGCGGCCAGACUGGGAGUGGGACACGGCACAGAGUCCUAGGGGAGGGAGCAGUAGGGAAACUGCGGGAAUGGGCGGAAGUCUGACCGAGCAGCGCGGCGGGAGUGAAGAGGGUUUUCGGAUCGUGGAGCUCUGUUGUAGGGGAGGAACGAGUGUGAGAGUGGGAAGCUCACAGUGUGACGGUAUCUUACCAGAAAGGGACGGCUAGCUACGUG